CUCAUACCAGCAUGCUGCACCAGGAGACCUGCCCAGUGGUCAGGGCCUGGCCCUGUUGGCCCGUACUGAUCGAGGCCAGGAGCAGAGCUAAGUGUCUACAGUGAUCUGUCUGGGUCCUCACUGCCCUGUGUGGUAGGGAAUUACCUUCAACUUAGGACUGAGAAAACUCAAGAAGACCUAAGAAGUGCCUGGUCCAGGAGUGGAGCUGGAAUAGGAACCCAAGGCAGGCACAGCCCAGGGUCUUCAUUGCUGGGCUUCUUGCCUGAAUGAAAGACCUGUGCUACCGAGUACCUCACAUGCGCCUGCCUUUCCUCCAGGUGAAUCAGUGCACCGUCCAAGCAUGUUCCUUGUUGUGUCCUACCGUAAAUUUCAGGAUUGCAUUUCACCCAUAAGGUUGUAAGCACUUUACCAGGGGCAGAGUGCUGUCAUGGAAUCAGCGUGAGAUUUGAAGUCAGAAGGUUUGAAUCUGGACUAGUUCCCAUGUCCCUUUUCUCAGCCCCUGUCCUCGGGCACUGUGAUAAUAUGUCAGUGAUACAUGUGGGAUACCAGUGAUAGUGUGUAUCCCACAGCUAGCGGGAUCAGCCCAGCUCAUGCGUGUAAGUACUAAGCACCAUACAAAUGAUUCGAGUAAUAUUUUUGGUCAGUUGUGGAUUAUUCUCUUUAACAGAUGUGUUCUGAAAAAUGGAAUUGAGUUUCCUUACAGCUGGAGAGAAACAAGUCGAGUCCAGCCUAGAAGAAAGUGGCCCCUUCGUCUUUCAUCCUGCAUGAGAACUGUCUGCAGCUGCUUUUCCGUAAAUGAUUCUGUUUGUAGAACACAGAAGAAGAUUAGCCCUGAGCUAACAUCUGCUGCCAAUCCUCCUCAUUUUUUGCUGAGGAAGACUGGCCCUGAGCUAACAUCCAUGCCCAUCUUCCUCUACUUUGUAUGUGGGACGCCUACCACAGCAUGGCGUGCCAAGCGGUGCCCUGUCCGGACCCGGGAUCUGAACCGGCGAACCCCAGGCCAGCGAGAAGCGGAACAUGCGCACUUAAGUGCUGCGCCACGGGGCUGGCCCCCUAGAAGACUUUCUAAACGUUCUAUAAUCACACCUAAAAUGGAGUUUCAAAUUGAUUUGUGUGAAGGAAAUAUUUUUAGGAUAAAUGCAUAGGCCAUUAGAAAUGCAAUAUUUCUAAAUGAUUCGUAUUCGACAAGUUGAAUUUGGUUAGAUUUUGAUCAACCAAUGCAUUCAAUAUUUUCUAUUAUAAAAUUUUAUAAGAACAAAUGCAAAUAAUUGUUCAUAGGGUUUAUUAACAAUUUAUCCAUUUACAAAGAUGCUUAGAAAUGGUUUGCUGUCUCCCAAAUUUAUUUUGCAUGAGAAAUUGCUUGGUAAAUAUUUAUGUUUCCUCUAUUAUUGUAUUUAAGCAUGUUUUUGUUGCAAGUAACAGUAACUGACUGACUAUGCCGUAAGCAGAGAUGGAAAAGAUCAGAGGAGUCUCGGGAAACCCAGGAGGC
RNAcentral lists this long non-coding RNA (1489 nucleotides) under Equus asinus (donkey). Its description in RNAcentral is "lncRNA (ENSEASG00005027422.1)". The record is from RNAcentral. Lineage: Eukaryota; Metazoa; Chordata; Mammalia; Perissodactyla; Equidae.